GGGUGUAAACAGGUGUAGACGGGUGUAGACAGGUGUAAACAGGUGUAGACGGGUUUUAAACAGGUGUAGACGGCUGUAAACAGGUGUAGAUGGGUGUAAACAGGUGUAGAUGGGUUUUAAACAGGUGUAGACAGGUGUAGACGGGUGUAAACGGGUGUAGACGGGUGUAGACAGGUGUAAAUAGGUGUAGACGGGUGUAAACAGGUGUAAACAGGUGU
Long non-coding RNA from Astyanax mexicanus (Mexican tetra), 218 nucleotides. RefSeq lists it as uncharacterized. The transcript has 3 exons. Lineage: Eukaryota; Metazoa; Chordata; Actinopteri; Characiformes; Acestrorhamphidae. The record is from RefSeq and is a predicted model, not a curated record.